UCUCCCUUCUUCUGCCCGAUCUAUCAACCCCCUUUGGAGCAAGAAUUGUUAGGGUUAGUGCGGCAGUGAGUUCCGAUCCAGGUGAUCAGUGGCGCAGCAGUGAGCUUCACCGGUGCUGUCCAUUCCUUCCUUUGGCAUGUCAGCUCGGCGCCGCUCCUCCUUUGUGCUCCCCCACCAUGCCUCCAUCCCUAAGGCUAAUCUGAUGGACAAACAAUGCAGUCAAGAACAUUCAAACAAGGGCGAUGCUUUCAGUAGGGUGGUGAAACCGAAUUUAGCAGAACCAAUGCAGCUUCAACUUCUACCCCCUGACAUUCUACGUGACAUACUGUCUUGGUUAUCUAUCAAGCAAUUCGUGCGGAUGAGCAUACUUUCUCG
Long non-coding RNA from Lolium rigidum, 375 nucleotides. RefSeq lists it as uncharacterized. The record is from RefSeq and is a predicted model, not a curated record. NCBI's taxonomy places the organism in Eukaryota, Viridiplantae, Streptophyta, Magnoliopsida, Poales, Poaceae. The transcript is spliced from 3 exons.